GCUCGCGUGGCGGAAUUGGUAGACGCAAGGGACUUAAAAUCCCUCGGUUGACAACAGCCGUGCCAGUUCGAUUCUGGCCGCGAGCA
RNAcentral lists this transfer RNA (86 nucleotides) under bacterium. RNAcentral describes it as "tRNA-Leu". It matches the Rfam family "tRNA". From Rfam's summary of the family: Transfer RNA (tRNA) molecules are approximately 80 nucleotides in length. Their secondary structure includes four short double-helical elements and three loops (D, anti-codon, and T loops). The record is from RNAcentral.